RNAcentral lists this unclassified non-coding RNA (356 nucleotides) under soil metagenome. RNAcentral's name for it is "partial contains 5.8S ribosomal RNA, internal transcribed spacer 2, and large subunit ribosomal RNA". The stretch from base 1 to 120 matches the Rfam family "5.8S ribosomal RNA", at positions 35 to 154 of the family's 154-position model. The record is from RNAcentral.
GAUGAAGAACGUAGCGAAAUGCGAUAAGUAAUGCGAAUUGCAGAAUUCAGUGAAUCAUCGAAUCUUUGAACGCACAUUGCGCCCGCCAGUACUCUGGCGGGCAUGCCUGUCUGAGCGUCAUUUCAACCCUCGCGCCCGGCUUCUGUCGGGGGCGGUGUUGGGGAUCGGCCUCCCGUCUUCCGGGCGGCCGGCCCCUAAAUGGAGUGGCGACCGCGCCGUAGCCUCCUCUGCGUAGUAGUGAAACACUCGCGGGCGGAGAGCGGUGGGGCCCGCCGUAAAACCCCCAACUCUUCUAAGGUUGACCUCAGAUCAGGUAGGAAUACCCGCUGAACUUAAGCAUAUCAAUAAGCGGAGGA